This 222-nucleotide ribosomal RNA is filed under the name Triticum aestivum (bread wheat). RNAcentral describes it as "partial small subunit ribosomal RNA". Lineage: Eukaryota; Viridiplantae; Streptophyta; Magnoliopsida; Poales; Poaceae. The record is from RNAcentral.
AUGUCCGUGACACCAUUGUGCUCCAUUCGAGAUCUAUCACCAACCCUGAACGGGUGUUCUACAAGUUCUCCAGCCAUCGUGUUGGACCGAAUCCAUGCCAACACUACUAGUGGGAAGAUGGCCCAGAUAACUAUUUUGAUUUUCUGGUUAGGAAUGGCCACUUAUGUAUUGCAAGAACAUGAAGAUCUAGAGGUAGCUCUGGUCAUUCAUUGGGCGACAUAG